Pomacea canaliculata is the source of this 488-nucleotide long non-coding RNA. RefSeq lists it as uncharacterized. The record is from RefSeq and is a predicted model, not a curated record. Lineage: Eukaryota; Metazoa; Mollusca; Gastropoda; Architaenioglossa; Ampullariidae. The transcript is spliced from 5 exons.
GUGUGCACUAAUCCUGUCCAAACCGGUUUGUUUGUGCCCGUUAGGACAAGUCGGUGAUCAGUGUCUGACAAGAAACGAAGACACUCCUGUCAAUGCAAACACUACACAGCCUCACGCAGUGGUACCGACACUACCAUCGGGUUUGCAGAUUACUUGUGACAUAGGAGAGACAUGUCAAAUACCAGUCUACGUCAACGGAGAUCCCAGAUUCCCUCUCACUGUCAACCGGGGACCUUCUUCUCCUGAGGUGGUCACCGCUGUCUCUUCACCUGUAAAGGACAACUCUACUGGCAUUUCCGUUGUGAAGUCAGUUACUGUCUGUGACUCCACAGGAAGCUGGCGAUCAUCACGUGUGCGUGGACAUCGUGGGAUCUGAUGUUAACGCUGUCGAUCACAUCUGCUACUUCAUCACCACUCGACCCAAAGGUACGAGACAGUCAGAUGUCUCCUUGCAUGAGUGACAUGCCAUUCUGGGUACAUGCACGCCU